GGGCAAAUGGUGUAGUUGGUUAUCACAUCCGCUUAGCAUCGAGCUGCUUGCGGGGGGUGUCCGGUUCAAUUCCGGAUUUGUCCA
Non-coding RNA from Pisolithus thermaeus, 84 nucleotides. The record is from the annotation of a GenBank genome assembly. NCBI's taxonomy places the organism in Eukaryota, Fungi, Basidiomycota, Agaricomycetes, Boletales, Pisolithaceae.